AACGAACGCUGGCGGCAUGCCUAACACAUGCAAGUCGAACGAUACCUUCUGGUCCAGUUGCGCACGGGUGCGUAACGCGUGGGAACCUUCCCUUAGGUUCGGAAUAACUCCCCGCAAGGGGUGCUAAUACCGGAUAAUGUCUUCGGACCAAAGAUUUAUCGCCUUUGGAUGGGCCCGCGUUGGAUUAGCUAGUUGGUAGGGUAAAAGCCUACCAAGGCUAAUAUCCAUAGCUGGUCUGAGAGGAUGAUCAGCCACACUGGGACUGUGACACGGCCCAGACUCCUACGGGAGGCAGCAGUGGGGAAUAUUGGACAAUGGGCGAAAGACUGAGCCAGCAAUGCCGCGUAAGUGAUGAAGGCCUUAGGGUUGUAAAGCUCUUUUAACCGGGAUGAUAAUGACAGUACCGGGAGAAUAAGCGCCGGCUAACUCCGUG
RNAcentral lists this ribosomal RNA (433 nucleotides) under uncultured bacterium. RNAcentral's name for it is "partial 16S ribosomal RNA". It matches the Rfam family "Bacterial small subunit ribosomal RNA", at positions 29 to 507 of the family's 1533-position model. The record is from RNAcentral.